Molecule: transfer RNA, 73 nt
Filed under: Planococcus salinarum
Lineage: Bacteria; Bacillati; Bacillota; Bacilli; Caryophanales; Caryophanaceae
Description: tRNA-Gly
Rfam family: tRNA
About the family: Transfer RNA (tRNA) molecules are approximately 80 nucleotides in length.
Source: RNAcentral
UCGGAAGUAGUUCAGUGGUAGAACCCACCUUGCCAAGUGGAGGUCGCGGGUUCGACCCCCGUCUUCCGCUCCA